This 252-nucleotide ribosomal RNA is filed under the name uncultured bacterium. Its description in RNAcentral is "partial 16S ribosomal RNA". It matches the Rfam family "Bacterial small subunit ribosomal RNA", at positions 524 to 776 of the family's 1533-position model. The record is from RNAcentral.
UACAGAGGGGGCAAGCGUUAUUCGGAAUUAUUGGGCGUAAAGGGCGCGUAGGCGGCGAUUCAAGUGACGGGUGAAAUCCCUCGGCUUAACCGAGGAACUGCCUGUCAGACUGGGUUGCUUGAGACCGGAGAGGCGAGUGGAAUUCCCAGUGUAGCGGUGAAAUGCGUAGAUAUUGGGAGGAACACCAGUGGCGAAGGCGGCUCGCUGGACCGGAACUGACGCUGAGGCGCGAAAGCGUGGGGAGCAAACAGG